AGUCGCCAACACACAUCCCUGCGCACACGUUGUCGGGUUUGCUGUCCCCUAUCAGAGACCUGCCGAACUUCUGGGGUUCGGAGGAGCCGGGUGGGAAGGUGGUUUGGGGUGUUAGGAGCGAUUGCUGACAGGGACCACGUUCUCGCAUGCAUGAGCUCUACCCACUUGAUACCUGAAAUCAGGUUCAUCUGUUUCAACUGGUGCUUAUGACCAUCGGAUGGGGGGCGGGGGAGGGUGGGCAGGAGCAAAGCGGAGUGUUUUUCAGUAAUUAGCGAGUGUCAAUAAAGAAUAGGAGCUUGAUUUUGAGAUUAGAAGGUAGGCAAAAGAGAGAAGAGCCCACUGACAAAAGAUACUCAAGGAGGACGGGAAGAUGUAGCUGAGGCUGACAAUGAAUUGUAGGUUUUCCCAGUGUGAUCCCUCCAGAAAGAGAACACCCUCUAUGCGUGUCCUUGUUUCUCUUUUUUGUUUAGGGUCCUUCUCUAGUUAGGCAGCACAACCUCGGACAAAGGCUGAUGUGUGCUUCCAUGCCUUUGACUUUGUCUUAGAGGACUAGUUAAGAAACUCCCAGGAUGCUGAAGGGCACCGAUGCCAAGUUGGCUAGCCGUCCCAGGGAGGAUGAAGUGGGGCUGGUGACAAGUUCACUGGGCUUUGUGAAGUGGAAUAAAGAAAGUGCUGGUCAGUGGAAAGUGCUGGCUCUGCUGCGGAAACAGUGGUUUUUUUCAGCAGCGAUUAGGAGCUGCUGAGGGGACAUUCUGCAGGAAAGAUGGUGGGUGGGGGCGGGGGGACACGGGUAUUUAAAAAUUGUACAGUGUGCACCAUGGAAAGUCCAAGAAGACAGUCCGGAUUUGCACAUAGGAAGUGUGAACUUGUACAGUCCGUCCUGGAGAAACCCGCUUGCCCUUGGGGGGAGGGCUGUGAGAGGCUCGGUGUGUGGCUGCUCGUGUAAUUUCUUCGCUUAGUGACAGCAGCUUGUUAAGGCUAAUGAACGGCUGAAUUUCCUCUGCCGGGAUCCAAAGCAGGAUUUGCCAGCUUGAGGCUGAGAUGUAACAGUCUCUGCUUUAGCAAAAGAGGUUUGGCUUUUGGUAUAAGGAGCCGAGUGGCAAGGCGGAUCCUUUAACUGUACCAUUGUUGCUAGUUCACUUCUGGUCAGAGGCUGUGAGUUUUCCUCCAGGUAUUGGCGUCUGGUGUCUCUGUGUCCACACAUGCAUUCUUGUCCAAGGACGCUAGCAGAUGCUUGACUCUGUCUCUCUGUAAACACAUACACAGUUCACAUAUUUUUAGAAUAAAGUCUUUCUUCAAUGCAUCCUUUUCCUUAUCCUUAACGAGAGUGUGUCUCAUGAAGGGUCUCACUGGAUCUUUUUCUUCCUUUUAUUUCCAAUGCUAAUUAAACCAAAAUCUUCUGAAAUAGCCUUCAUUUCACACUGUCAGCCCACUGGCCUGGGCUGCCAGGUGCUAUAUCAGCCAGGAAAACAAAGCAAACUGUAGGGUCUGUCCAUCCGUAGGUUUGCCUCAGUCCCCAAUUCGCAGAUAGCCUUGUCAUGAAUUAGAAUUUCUUGGCAACAGCACCACCCAGGGAAAUUUGUAGACACAAAGGAGCCUUGCUAGCCACACUGAAAGGAUAAAAUAACUGUUUUUUUUUGUAUUGUGCAAUGGGCUUUUAAUUAUCUUUGCUGGACCCCACGACUGGCAAAUGCAGAAAAUCGCUCUGUGAUUCCAGUUCACUCGAUAUAUCAGUUAGCCUAUGUGUUAGAACUGCGAUUUGCUGAAAGUUUAGGACAGCUCCCCAACUUAACUUGAAUGGUGCCAGAGGGGCAGAUGAGUAUACAAUGUGAAUACACAUAUCCAUAAUGGCCAGGAAACAGUGCCCAUGUCUGUGCCAUUCGGAAAUGAUUAGAGGUUUGACAUUCUAGUCAUUCCUUUUUCCUCUUCCUCCCUCUCCCCUUCCUGAUUUUCUUUGUCCAAGUUCCACCCAUUCCUUAACUUUCAAAUGGGUGCCAAACUCCCUCCCUUGCUACCAGCCAACUGUAACUGCUAUGAUUUCCAUACUCUUGUGCAGAGCUUUUUACUUCCCCG
Molecule: long non-coding RNA, 2073 nt
Filed under: Homo sapiens (human)
Lineage: Eukaryota; Metazoa; Chordata; Mammalia; Primates; Hominidae
Description: HSALNT0308479
Source: RNAcentral